Molecule: ribosomal RNA, 465 nt
Filed under: uncultured bacterium
Lineage: Bacteria
Description: partial 16S ribosomal RNA
Rfam family: Bacterial small subunit ribosomal RNA
Source: RNAcentral
GACGAACGCUGGCGGCGUGCUUAACACAUGCAAGUCGAACGGAAAGGCCCUGCUUGCAGGGUACUCGAGUGGCGAACGGGUGAGUAACACGUGGGUGAUCUGCCCUGCACCUCGGGAUAAGCCUGGGAAACUGGGUCUAAUACCGGAUAGGAGCCAUUUUUAGUGUGAUGGUUGGAAAGUUUUUUCGGUGUAGGAUGAGCUCGCGGCCUAUCAGCUUGUUGGUGGGGUAAUGGCCUACCAAGGCGGCGACGGGUAGCCGGCCUGAGAGGGUGGACGGCCACAUUGGGACUGAGAUACGGCCCAGACUCCUACGGGGGGCAGCAGUGGGGAAUAUUGCACAAUGGGCGCAAGCCUGAUGCAGCGACGCCGCGUGGGGGAUGACGGCCUUCGGGUUGUAAACUCCUUUCGCUAGGGACGAAGCUUUUUGUGACGGUACCUAGAUAAGAAGCACCGGCUAACUACGUG